AGGGCACCACCAGGAGUGGAGCCUGCGGCUUAAUUUGACUCAACACGGGAAAGCUUACCUGGCCCGGACACUGGAAGGAUUGACAGAUUGAGAGCUCUUUCUUGAUUUGGUGGAUGGUGGUGCAUGGCCGUUCUUAGUUGGUGGAGUGAUUUGUCUGGUUAAUUCCGAUAACGAACGAGAUUCUACCCUGCUAAAUAAUUCGCCGAAUUUAUACUCCCGGUGUAACUUCUUAGGGGACCAUGUGGCGUUUAGUCACUGAAACUUAAUAAUUACCGGGCUGGGAUGGCCUUUAAUGGUCCGGGGUCCCCCCCCCCCUCCAUGAAAGGAAUCAUGUGGUGUUCUUCCUGAUUCACAAACUCUGUAAUCUUAAAAUAUUUUUCAUUCCAGGGAUGGAUUGAUUGAAAUUAUGCCCCUUGAACGACGAAUUCCUCCCAAAUAUUAAUCAUUCAUAAGCUGUUGAUUAAUUCCCUGCCUCUUUGUACACACACACCCGCCGCUACUACUAAUUGAAGGGUGGAU
Molecule: ribosomal RNA, 519 nt
Filed under: uncultured eukaryote
Lineage: Eukaryota
Description: bacterial SSU rRNA
Rfam family: Eukaryotic small subunit ribosomal RNA
Source: RNAcentral